GACAGAGGGUGCAAACGUUGCUCGGAAUUACUGGGCGUAAAGCGCGUGUAGGCGGACUGGUGUGUCGGAUGUGAAAUCCCCAGGCUCAACCUGGGAACUGCAUUCGAAACUGCCAGCCUUGAGUGGUGGAGAGGGAAGUGGAAUUCCUGGUGUAGAGGUGAAAUUCGUAGAUAUCAGGAGGAACACCAGUGGCGAAGGCGGCUUCCUGGACACCAACUGACGCUGAGACGCGAAAGCGUGGGGAGCGAACAGG
Molecule: ribosomal RNA, 253 nt
Filed under: uncultured bacterium
Lineage: Bacteria
Description: partial 16S ribosomal RNA
Rfam family: Bacterial small subunit ribosomal RNA
Source: RNAcentral